GGAAAAGCCAUGUGCGUCUGCUAGAUAUGCUUAUGUUAACAAGCGAAUGACCAACAUGUCAAAACUAAAGAGGAAAAUCAAUCUGUUGAGGAAAAGACAAAUGAGAGUAAUCCAUUGAAAGUAGUUGCAUUAAAACAUCUACGGGCAGGCCAUCUCUCCCUGAUAUCUUGAAGUCGUCUUGAUAAUUAACGGUUAAGCUUAUUUCCGAUCACCCACCCAACAUUCGUCUAUAGUAAACAAACGGAAUAAUCAAUCAUGCAGUGCCAUCUACAGACUAGGACCAAAACAAAUGAAUGGAGGGCCCCAUUUCGUCUAGCAUCUACUGACCUUUGAGAAGCAACUCAGUCCUCCGCUCAUUUCUACUGCUGAUGCUGUGUCAUGGUUGGAGAGAUCUGAAUUAAGUGAUGUGGAGAGAAUCUGGGCUCUUACCUGGUGGGCCCUUUGCCCAACCCUGCAGCCAGACCAGGAAGAAUGUGUUCCACAGCUGCCUCCAUCCUCAUCCAUGUUCCCUCAGAGAGCUCCUUUAGAAAAAAGUAAAUGAUUGGAGGUGGUACAGUCCAGAUGAAGACGUUAAUGCUCCUCCUGGUCUGCCUGCUCCAUCUUUCCUCACUCACUCACCACAGGUGAAUGACUUUAACCCAUCUUCACACCCUCCAGUAGUACAGAACAUGGGGGAAUCUGGACCAUCACCACUCACUAAUCAAGAAAAUCAUGAAUCUCAAAUUUCUCAGCAGCACCAGUUAGAUGGAAAAAUUAAUUGUGAAGGUAAUGCAUUGUCAGACAAACAAAGUAACAAGCUCGGCCCGGCAGAAAAAGGUUCUGAAUGUAGUGAGAUGGAGCAUCAUGGGAAGACAGCCGUAAAGAGGUGCAGCUCGUUAAAGAAAGUCCCAAACUGUGAAGCAGUUGAGGGAAUUAAACUGAACACAAAGACACCUUCUGUGCACAGGUACAGACAUGACAGUUCAGCCAUGACAGGAUGGCAAGGAAAAGUGGGGGAGGGGAGUGUGUCAGAAACGCAAGUGUGUGCUGGAGGAUCUGGAGUAGGACUGGAGGUAGAAUCAGGAGCAAGAGGAUUUGGAUCAGGGCUAGGAGCAAAAGCAAGAGCAGAAGCAUAUGGAUCAGGACUGAGAGUAAAAUCAGGAGCAGGAGGUUCUGGAUCAGGGCUGGGAGCAAAAUCAGGAGCAGGAGGAUCUGGAUUAAACCGUGAAACAAAAUCAGUACCAGGUGGGUCUGGAUCCGGGCUGAAAAAGAAAUCAGGACCAGGAGGGUCUGGAUUAAGUCAGGAAACAAAAUCAGGAGCAGAAGGAUUUAGAUUAGGGUGGGAACAAAAUCUGGAUCAGGAGCAUCUGGAAUAAGUCGGAAAACAAAAUAUAGAGCAGGAGGAUUUGGAUCAGGGCUGGGAACAAAAGCAGGACCUGGAGGAUUUCGAUUAGGGCUGGGAAUAAAAUCAGUAACAGGAGGAUGUGGAUCAGAGUUGGGAGAAAAAUUAGGACCUGGAGGAUCUGGAUCAGAGCUGGGAACCAAAUCAAAAGCAGGAGGAUCUGAAGCAGGAUCUAGAUCCGGGCUGGAAGCAAAAUCAGAAGCAGGUGGACCUGGUUCAGGACUGGAGUGCUGCCCUAUGUGUCUAAAGCCGUUUCCUGCAGGACCACUUCUCAGAAAGAGGACAGACUGUGAAUGUGCUUUUGCAGAGGAGGAAGAGGAACUCUAAGAAGGACAGUUAUUCAUCAAAAUCGGUCAAAAAGUCACCAGAUUCUUGCGAGGUCCGGGAGCGCUGCGCGCUUCAGUGUGGUGGGCAGCGCAGAACGUCCUAGAACAAGGGAGGACUUUGUUGGGAGAGCAGGGAUGGCGUGCGCCCUGCCCGCUCUCUGCCCGCUUGUGUACAUUGGCUAGACUGUAGAGCACAGCCGAACAGAGGCAGCCCCAGGAGAGAGACACAAUGAAGACUCUUGUCUAGAGUGGGAGAGUGAGUUUCCCAGGGCAUAGAUAUGAGCCGAGGGCCAAAGAGGAAAAAAUGGGUGAAGAGAUGGAAAUCUUGAUGGACGGAAUGAAGGAACUUCAUGGUGGGUUGGCACGUGUAGAUUCACAGAAUGGUUUUGAGGUUUGCUGCUGGGAAGCAGCAAGCCGUCUUGGUUGGAAAAAGGAUUAAAGAGGAAAGGAAAGAGUAUUAGGGAAAGGGAAUACAAACAAAUGAAUGUGAGUGAAAAUGAGGGUAUUUUUGGGGUGAGAAAGGAAAUGUAUUAUAAACGGUUUUUUUUUAAAAAAAAAGUUACAUUUUAUACCUGGUGACCUCUCAGUUUCUGUGUGUGCUUCUUAGCCUGCAACAUACUACAAGAAACCAUUGCUCAGUACUGUAUUUUUGCAGUAUGUAAUGCACCCCACAUCAGUAAACUAUAAUAAAUUGAAUUUUUUGUUGUUGUUUUUGUUUUUAUUCAGUUAUAGUUUUCAGUGUCUGCCGUUACAAUAGUGAGGAAAACAAGUAGGAGAAGUUCAAAAACAAAUAGGGGGCUAGUUGUCACAGGGGCUAUAUCUCAGUAGCUGUAAGGUUUUGAGUCAAAAGUCCAUUAUACAAAUGUUUAUUUCAAACUUCUUUCAAAUUAUAUUUUUGAAUGAUUCUAAAUUUGAAUAAUAUGAUCAUAAUUUCAAUAUCAUCGUAUUUUUGUAAUAGAUUUUGGGUAAACAGGCAAAAAGAAUAAAACCACGCUGCCAUAAUUUAUGGCAGGGGCAAACUAUACAGUACAAUCAAGGUAGAUUUUAACCGAAAAGGAAAACUGUUCUCAGGAUGGGUAUUUUUAAUAAAUGUCAAAGUUGUCACGUCUUUUAAAUGUUGUACAUUUCUAAAAUGUUAUAUUUACAGUUCAAGAAAAAGUAUGUGAACCCUUUGGAAUUACAGGCAUUUAUGUAUAAAUUUGUCUUAAAAUCUGGUAUGUUUUUUUUUUUAUCUAAGUUACAGUAAUGAACAACCACAAUCUGUUUUAAUAAAACACAAAUUAUUGUAUUGGUCUUGUAUAUAUUGAAUACAUUAUUCAAACAUUUACAGUGUAAGUUGUAAAAAGUAUGUGAACCCCUAGGCUAAUAACAUUAACAAAAGCUAAUUUGAGUCAGGAGUUGGCAAACCUGGCAUCCAGUUAAUGGAUUGAGAUUGGAGGUGUGGGUUAGUGAUACUUGGACUUAUAAAAAGCACUCAAACAUUUCGGGUUUGCUAUUCACAAGAAGCAUGUGCUUAGAUGGACCAUGCUUAGCAAAAAAGGGAUCUCAGAAGACCUAUGAUCAAGAAUUGUUCCUUUGGAAAGGGUUCUAAAUGUAUUUCAAAGAGCUUAGAUAUUCAUCUGUCCACAGUUAGACAAAUUGACAAUUGACAGUUUAGUACUGUGGCUACUCUCUCUAGAAGUGGCCAUCCAGCCAAGAUGACUCACGGGGCACAAAGCUGAAUGCUCAGUGAGGUAAAAAAGAACUCUAGAGUGACAGCUAAAGACUUGAAGGAAUCAUUUAAACUGGUUAACAUCUCUGCUCAUGAGUCUACAAUAUGGAAAACAUUAAACAGGCAUGGUGUCCAUGGCAGGACACAACGAAGGAAGCCGCUGCUUUCCAACAAAAACUGCAUGCCUGAAGUUUGCCAAAGACCACAUUGACACUCCACAACGCUACUGAGAAAAUGUUUUGUGGACUGAUGAAACUAAGGUUGAAUUGUUUGGGAAGAACACAUCAGAAACAUCAUCCCAGUGGUGAAGUACGGUGGAGGGACCAUCAUGAUUUGGGGCUGUUUCAGGGCCAGGACUGUUUGCCAUCAUCUAAGGAAAAAUUAAUUCCCAAGUUUAUCAAGAUAUCCUGCAGAUUAAUGUCAGGGUGUAUGCUAGCUGAAGCUCAGUAGAAGUUGGGUGAUGCAGCAGGACAAUUACCCUAAACAUCGAAGUAAAUCCACUACAGAAUGGCUUCAAAAAAAUAAAAACCACCUUUUGGAGUGGCCCAGUCAGAGCCCAGACUUUAACUCAAUAGAGAUGCUGUGAAAUGAUCUCAAAAGAACCGUUCACACCACACAUCGUUAGAAUAUGGCUGAGAUAAAGCAGUUCUGCAAGGAAGAAUGGUCUAAAAUUUCUUCUAAACAAUCGACCAGUUAUUAAAUUCAAGGGUUCACGUAUUUUUUCCACUGCACCGUGAAUCUUUAAUGGGAUGUGUUCAAUAAAGAUGUAAAAGAUUAUAAUUGUUUGUGUGUUGUUAGCUUAAGCACCAUCGUGUUUGUCGAAGUCGUGUGUUGCGACUUUGAUAAAGAUGAGAUCACAUUUUAUGACCAAUUAAUGCAGAAAACCGGCUGAUUCCAAAAGGUUCACAUAUUUAUAAGUACAAUAUCUGUUGUUUCUAAACAGUGGUUUUAUAUUUUUGUUACCUUUUCCAUUUUAUGCUGUUGCAUUAAUCGUUUUGCAUUUCAUAAUUGUUUAACUGUUUAAAUCUUCAUCAAAAGUGUACAGUAGGCCAUUAAAUGGCAUGUUCCCAUUGUGUCAGCUUACCCCUGCAUACAAUAUUUUUUUUCUUGUGCAAUAAUGGAGGAUAUUAGCCAUACAGCCUAAUUUUAUAACCAAGAUUUUAAGGCAUGUUGCUAUACAGAAAAUGACUUUCAAAAAUAAACCUGAAAAUUACUCACUGGAGUAAAAAGUGACAACUAGCCCUGGUCUCCUCUAACUUAAAACCAGCACAAGUCAGUUCUGGAAAAGUGCAUGAAUUCUAACAAAGAUGUUUUCAGUGAGUACAUGUUAAGAAGGUAGAAAUGUUGGAUAGCAAGAGGAAUGAAAUAGAAGGAGCUUAAAUUAUUGAAAUGUUUCCAGAUAAAUGUUUCUUGAGCAACACUGGGGGAUAAGCUAAACUGUAAAAUAUUUAGAAACAACUUUUCUCUACAUUCCAAACCUUACGUCAACAUGCUUUGCUUCCAAAAUGUUUUAUGAAAGAAAACGAGAGAUCAAUAACUUAACAGGACUCAAAAACAGUAUUUUUCCAAAACUCAUUGUGCAAGAAAUCAGUGAUAUUGCAUUAGCACCCUCGUGUUUUAGGUUUAUAAACCACAGCUUACUGGCAAGUCCAGUUUGUACAGUAUGUAUUAAGCAGUUAGAUAUUUUUAUGGUCUAGCUGCAAGAUGUUUGAUACAUGGCAGGCCAAACUUUUAUCAGCCCUGAAAAAUUACAACAGGACAGUGGCACUGUUUUAUAUUGGAGCACCAGUGUUCUGUGUGUGUUGCUCAAUAUCAUGUUUUCCUAAAGACUUAAAAGAGUUCUUGGGUCUUUUUCAGGUUCUCCCAAAUGGAAUGUGAUAGUCAUCUUGCACAGUGUUUAUCAGAGAUGAAUGAAGAUAUUGUCUGGUGAUAACAGUCAUGUUAUAUAAACCAGUCUGCUGGAUCCCUGUGUUAUCUUCCAUAUGAUCUUUACAUUGCAUCCCAAGGAUAUGUACAGAGAUUCUAUACAUAAUUAUUCUGAACAUUAUAUACAAAAUUGGAAUUUAAAAUAAAGAUCCCAUGAGA
Molecule: long non-coding RNA, 5503 nt
Organism: Myxocyprinus asiaticus (Chinese sucker)
Lineage: Eukaryota; Metazoa; Chordata; Actinopteri; Cypriniformes; Catostomidae
Exons: 5
Source: RefSeq, a predicted model, not a curated record